RNAcentral lists this ribosomal RNA (301 nucleotides) under uncultured bacterium. RNAcentral's name for it is "partial 16S ribosomal RNA". It matches the Rfam family "Bacterial small subunit ribosomal RNA", at positions 509 to 808 of the family's 1533-position model. The record is from RNAcentral.
CAGCAGCCGCGGAACACGUAGGUGGCAAGCGUUGUCCGGAAUUAUUGGGCGUAAAGGGCUCGCAGGCGGUUUCUUAAGUCUGAUGUGAAAGCCCCCGGCUCAACCGGGGAGGGUCAUUGGAAACUGGGAAACUUGAGUGCAGAAGAGGAGAGUGGAAUUCCACGUGUAGCGGUGAAAUGCGUAGAUAUAUGGAGGAACACCGGUGGCGAAAGCGGCUCUCUGGCUUGUAACUGACGCUGAGGCUCGAAAGCGUGGGGCGCAAACAGGAUUAGAUACCCCCGUAGUCCCUGUCUCUUAUACA